AGAGUUUGAUCCUGGCUCAGAAUCAACGCUGGCGGCGUGCCUCAGACAUGCAAGUCGAACGAUUAAGACUUCCUUCGGGAAGUGCAUAAAGUGGCGCACGGGUGAGUAACACGUAAGUAAUCUACCUUCGAGUGGGGAAUAACGUUCGGAAACGAACGCUAAUACCGCAUAAUGCAGCGGCAUCUAAUGAUGACAGUUGUUAAAGGAGCAAUUCGCUUGAAGAGGAGCUUGCGGCAGAUUAGCUAGUUGGUAAGGUAAUGGCUUACCAAGGCUACGAUCUGUAUCCGGUCUAAGAGGACGGUCGGACACACUGACACUGAAUAACGGGUCAGACUCCUACGGGAGGCAGCAGUCGGGAAUUUUGGGCAAUGGGCGAAAGCCUGACCCAGCAACGCCGCGUGAAGGAUGAAGUAUUUCGGUAUGUAAACUUCGAAAGAAUGGGAAGAACUCAAUGACGGUACCAUUUAUAAGCUCCGGCUAACUACGUGCCAGCAGCCGCGGUAAUACGUAGGGAGCAAGCGUUGUUCGGAUUUACUGGGCGUAAAGGGCGCGUAGGCGGCAAAUCAAGUCAGCUGUGAAAUCUCUGAGCUUAACUCAGAACGGUCAGCUGAUACUGCUUUGCUAGAGUGCGGAAGGGGCAAUCGGAAUUCUUGGUGUAGCGGUGAAAUGCGUAGAUAUCAAGAGGAACACCUGAGGUG
Molecule: ribosomal RNA, 698 nt
Filed under: uncultured Acidobacteriota bacterium
Lineage: Bacteria; Pseudomonadati; Acidobacteriota
Description: bacterial SSU rRNA
Rfam family: Bacterial small subunit ribosomal RNA
Source: RNAcentral